AGGCCUCCCUGGAGCACGAGGAGGGCAAGAUCCUCCGGGCCCAGCUGGAGUUCAACCAGAUCAAGGCAGAGAUCGAGCGGAAGCUGGCAGAGAAGGACGAGGAGAUGGAACAGGCCAAGCGCAACCACCUGCGGGUGGUGGACUCGCUGCAGACCUCCCUGGACGCAGAGACACGCAGCCGCAACGAGGCCCUGAGGGUGAAGAAGAAGAUGGAAGGAGACCUCAAUGAGAUGGAGAUCCAGCUCAGCCACGCCAACCGCAUGGCCGCCGAGGCCCAGAAGCAAGUCAAGAGCCUCCAGAGCUUGUUGAAGGACACCCAGAUUCAGCUGGACGAUGCAGUCCGUGCCAACGACGACCUGAAGGAGAACAUCGCCAUCGUGGAGCGGCGCAACAACCUGCUGCAGGCUGAGCUGGAGGAGUUGCGUGCCGUGGUGGAGCAGACAGAGCGGUCCCGGAAGCUGGCGGAGCAGGAGCUGAUUGAGACUAGUGAGCGGGUGCAGCUGCUGCAUUCCCAGAACACCAGCCUCAUCAACCAGAAGAAGAAGAUGGAUGCUGACCUGUCCCAGCUCCAGACUGAAGUGGAGGAGGCAGUGCAGGAGUGCAGGAAUGCUGAGGAGAAGGCCAAGAAGGCCAUCACGGAUGCCGCCAUGAUGGCAGAGGAGCUGAAGAAGGAGCAGGACACCAGCGCCCACCUGGAGCGCAUGAAGAAGAACAUGGAACAGACCAUUAAGGACCUGCAGCACCGGCUGGACGAAGCCGAGCAGAUCGCCCUCAAGGGCGGCAAGAAGCAGCUGCAGAAGCUGGAAGCGCGGGUGCGGGAGCUGGAGAAUGAGCUGGAGGCCGAGCAGAAGCGCAACGCAGAGUCGGUGAAGGGCAUGAGGAAGAGCGAGCGGCGCAUCAAGGAGCUCACCUACCAGACGGAGGAGGACAGGAAAAACCUGCUGCGGCUGCAGGACCUGGUAGACAAGCUGCAGCUAAAGGUCAAGGCCUACAAGCGCCAGGCCGAGGAGGCGGAGCAAGCCAACACCAACCUGUCCAAGUUCCGCAAGGUGCAGCACGAGCUGGAUGAGGCAGAGGAGCGGGCGGACAUCGCCGAGUCCCAGGUCAACAAGCUGCGGGCCAAGAGCCGUGACAUUGGCACGAAGGGCUUGAAUGAGGAGUAGCUUUGCCACAUCUUGAUCUGCUCAGCCCUGGAGGUGCCAGCAAAGCCCCAUGCUGGAGCCUGUGUAACAGCUCCUUGGGAGGAAGCAGAAUAAAGCAAUUUUCCUUGAAGCCG
Molecule: long non-coding RNA, 1276 nt
Filed under: Homo sapiens (human)
Lineage: Eukaryota; Metazoa; Chordata; Mammalia; Primates; Hominidae
Description: long non-coding RNA NONHSAT169083.1
Source: RNAcentral